Molecule: ribosomal RNA, 433 nt
Filed under: Legionella pneumophila
Lineage: Bacteria; Pseudomonadati; Pseudomonadota; Gammaproteobacteria; Legionellales; Legionellaceae
Description: partial 23S ribosomal RNA
Rfam family: Bacterial large subunit ribosomal RNA
Source: RNAcentral
AAAGAACCCCGGAGAGGGGAGUGAAAUAGAAUCUGAAACCGUUUGCGUACAAGCAGUGGGAGCAUGGUUUAGGCUGUGUGACUGCGUACCUUUUGUAUAAUGGGUCAGCGAGUUACUUUCAGUGGCGAGGUUAACUGAAUAAGGGAGCCGUAGAGAAAUCGAGUCUGAAUAGGGCGAUAGUCGCUGGGAGUAGACCCGAAACCGGGCGAUCUAGCCAUGUGCAGGAUGAAGGUUGGGUAACACCAACUGGAGGUCCGAACCGGGUAAUGUUGAAAAAUUAUCGGAUGACGUGUGGCUAGGAGUGAAAGGCUAAUCAAGCCCGGAGAUAGCUGGUUCUCCCCGAAAGCUAUUUAGGUAGCGCCUCGUGAAUGAUUACUGGGGGUAGAGCACUGUUUCGGCUAGGGGGCUGUCAUGGCUUACCAAACCGAUGCAA